Long non-coding RNA from Bos indicus x Bos taurus (hybrid cattle), 392 nucleotides. The record is from Ensembl. Lineage: Eukaryota; Metazoa; Chordata; Mammalia; Artiodactyla; Bovidae.
UUCAGACAAAGCAGGCUUGCAAAGAGCCAAGGGAAAAACCAUCUGGCCUUGGCACAGGGGUGUCUGUAGAAGCCCUGAAGCUGCUGAGCAUCACAUUUCUGCUGUGCUCUCUGACUUGCCUCUUGCUGGAGACUGUUGCUUCCUCUGUGUCACUGCCACAACACUCAGUGGGUGUGUUUGCCGUUAUGAUGAAAGUUCCGGCCUCCAUAGGACCUAAGAUUCCCAUCGAAGAAAAUUCCAGGUCCUGGCUGAGCAACUUCAAGGAUUAUCUCUGCAAUCUCAUCAGGAGCCACAUCCCUCCAGCAGCCAUUUUUAUUUUUCUUAUUAUGUCAGCAGUGCUGGGGAUCCUCUGCUGCCUCACGUAAGCUUCUGGAAGAGGAGGGAAGGGAGGG